UACCAGCACCCCGAGUGGUCGGGACGUUUAUUGGGCCUAAAGCCUCCGUAGCCGGUUCUACAAGUCUUCCGUUAAAUCCAACUGCUUAACAGGUGGGCUGCGGAAGAUACUAUAGAGCUAGGAGGCGGGAGAGGCAAGCGGUACUCGAUGGGUAGGGGUAAAAUCCGUUGAUCCAUUGAAGACCACCAGUGGCGAAGGCGGCUCGCCAGAACGCGCUCGACGGUGAGGGAUGAAAGCUGGGGGAGCAAACCGG
RNAcentral lists this ribosomal RNA (253 nucleotides) under uncultured bacterium. Its description in RNAcentral is "partial 16S ribosomal RNA". It matches the Rfam family "Archaeal small subunit ribosomal RNA", at positions 474 to 727 of the family's 1478-position model. The record is from RNAcentral.